Molecule: ribosomal RNA, 253 nt
Filed under: uncultured bacterium
Lineage: Bacteria
Description: partial 16S ribosomal RNA
Rfam family: Bacterial small subunit ribosomal RNA
Source: RNAcentral
UACGGAGGGUGCAAGCGUUACUCGGAAUCACUGGGCGUAAAGGGCGCGUAGGCGGCCUAGCAAGUCUGGUGUGAAAGCCCAGGGCUCAACCCUGGAAGGGCACUGGAAACUGUUAGGCUUGAGUUCCGGAGAGGAGGGGGGAAUUCCCGGUGUAGCGGUGAAAUGCGUAGAUAUCGGGAGGAAUACCGGUGGCGAAGGCAGCUCCCUGGCCUGUCUCUGACGCUCAGGUACGAAAGCGUGGGGAGCAAACAGG